This 1385-nucleotide ribosomal RNA is filed under the name uncultured bacterium. RNAcentral's name for it is "16S ribosomal RNA". It matches the Rfam family "Bacterial small subunit ribosomal RNA". The record is from RNAcentral.
AGAGUUUGAUCAUGGCUCAGGACGAACGCUGGCGGCGUGCUUAACACAUGCAAGUGGUGCGACGAACCAGGGCUUGCCCUGGGGCAAAGCCGCGAACGGGUGAGUAACACGUGAGUAACCUGCCCCGAUGACCGGGACAACCCGAGGAAACUCGGGCUAAUACCGGAUGUGGCGCACAGGCGUAAGCCUGUUCGCUAAAGGAAGCUUCGGCCUCCGCAUUGGGAGGGGCUCGCGGCCCAUUAGCUUGUUGGUGGGGUAACGGCCCACCAAGGCAACGAUGGGUAGCUGGUCUGAGAGGACGAUCAGCCACACUGGGACUGAGACACGGCCCAGACCCCUACGGGAGGCAGCAGUGGGGAAUCUUGCGCAAUGCGCGAAAGCGUGACGCAGCAACGCCGCGUGGGGGAAGACGGCCUUCGGGUUGUAAACCCCUUUCAGGAGGGACGAAGGCUCACCGGUGAAUAGCCGUGUGAGUUGACGGUACCUCCACAAGAAGCUCCGGCUAACUACGUGCCAGCAGCCGCGGUAAUACGUAGGGAGCAAGCGUUGUCCGGAAUCAUUGGGCGUAAAGCGCGCGUAGGUGGCUUCAUAAGUCCGCUGUGAAAGUCAAAGGCUCAACCUUUGAAAGCCGGUGGAUACUGUGGGGCUAGAGUACCGAAGAGGCGAGUGGAAUUCCUGGUGUAGCGGUGGAAUGCGCAGAUAUCAGGAGGAACACCAAUAGCGAAGGCAGCUCGCUGGACGUUACUGACACUGAGGCGCGAAAGCGUGGGGAGCGAACAGGAUUAGAUACCCCGGUAGUCCUAGCAGUAAACGAUGGCCACUAGGUGUGGGGGGUGUUGACCCCUUCCGUGCCGAAGCUAACGCAUUAAGUGGCCCGCCUGGGGAGUACGGUCGCAAGACUAAAACUCAAAGGAAUUGACGGGGACCCGCACAAGCAGCGGAGCGUGUGGUUUAAUUCGAUGCGACGCGAAGAACCUUACCAAGGCUUGACAUGCACUCGCAAGCCUCCGAAAAGAGGCCCUCCUUCGGGACGGGUGCACAGAUGUUGCAUGGCUGUCGUCAGCUCGUGUCGUGAGAUGUUGGGUUAAGUCCCGCAACGAGCGCAACCCUCGUCCUUAGUUGUCUAUCUAGGGAGACCGCCGGAAACAAACCGGAGGAAGGUGGGGAUGACGUCAAGUCAGCAUGACUCUUACGUCUUGGGCUACACACACGCUACAAUGGCCGUUACAGCGAGAAGCCAGCCCGCGAGGGUGAGCAGACCUCUAAAAGGCGGCCCCAGUUCAGAAUGCACUCUGCAACCCGAGUGCAUGAAGGCGGAGUUGCUAGUAACCGCGUGUCAGCAUAGCGCGGUGAAUAUGUUCCCGGGUCUUGUACACACCGCCCGU